GAGUGGCAGUGGCAGCGGCAGCGGAAGUGGGUCUGUGGUAAGCAAAAGCAUGGCAUGCAGUAGGCUCUGGGUGAGGGAAGGAUUAAUAAGCAUAUAUUUAGGGUUUAGAUGAAAGAAAGAAAGAAAGAAAGAAAUAAAGUUGGGGGCAACAAAGGGUAAUCAUCAACUUGGGGUUGCAGCUGGGGGCCCAUGGAGGUUACGAUGAGAUGCGGGCAGGGCAGGGAACCUAUAUCCAAAGACAUCGUUGAAGGUUGCUUUGAAGCCAUCAACGAGGACCAAUUUGUCUGUGGCAAUUACGACCAAGGAACAAUAAGGGAUUAAUCAUACUGGCGUUUUAUAGUUCUAUGUCAUUUGGAACUGUUCUGAGUUUGUUCAAGUGAACUUACUUCGGGUUUAAAUAAAAAAUUGAGGAACUGACCCACCAAAAAUGAAUUCAAUUUCUGGACAGAGUAUUUCAUCAUAAAAGAGCGUUUGACACCUGAGAGGAAGAACAAUAAUGUAUUGGACAAACUUCAGUUUAAAACAAAAGCAUUGCAACUAUUAUACUGGUACAAACUCCGUCACCAAGUUCGUGUCUGGCACGGUCAUCCAUCCUAUUACCAUACUGCUCAGCUCUUAGAGCAUAAUAUCUAAACAAAUUGCUGUCAUGUCACCAAAAAGACAAAAAAAAAA
Cucurbita maxima (winter squash) is the source of this 672-nucleotide long non-coding RNA. RefSeq lists it as uncharacterized. The transcript is spliced from 2 exons. Lineage: Eukaryota; Viridiplantae; Streptophyta; Magnoliopsida; Cucurbitales; Cucurbitaceae. The record is from RefSeq and is a predicted model, not a curated record.